This 21-nucleotide non-coding RNA is filed under the name Rattus norvegicus (Norway rat). Lineage: Eukaryota; Metazoa; Chordata; Mammalia; Rodentia; Muridae. The record is from RNAcentral.
AAUUGAACGAAAUGUGCCACU